Molecule: ribosomal RNA, 69 nt
Filed under: Vibrio vulnificus
Lineage: Bacteria; Pseudomonadati; Pseudomonadota; Gammaproteobacteria; Vibrionales; Vibrionaceae
Source: RNAcentral
CUUGGCGACCAUAGCGUUUUGGACCCACCUGAUUCCAUUCCGAACUCAGAAGUGAAACGAAAUAGCGUC